AUUAUGAAAUUUGCAAUUACUCGUUUAUUUAAUUGAUAUUCUUCUUAUGAAUAAUCAUGCAUUCUCAUGAAAAUAUAUGCCUAGACUUACAAGCUAGACUAAUAUAUGUAAGAUCUAAAAUAUUAAUCACUUUUUCUAAGGUAUGCAACCACAUAUACCAGCACAAUCAUGAUAACAUGGUCCGUGAUCACGCACCUUCUGAAAAUAGCAUUUCAAAGUACAAUGGCUGUAGCAGCUAAUACUAAUGCUAGGACAAGAAGUAGAGAUUUGAAUGGCUUGUCCAUUCUCAAGUGAAGCAAACAUGAUUAUCAUGCUAAUGAAGAUAACAAGCGCAUCUUUGUUGUGGGCCAUAGACAACAUGAACAAAUGAUCUCUUUCAAUUUGAGUUGAAUAGUUG
This 397-nucleotide long non-coding RNA is filed under the name Lupinus angustifolius (narrow-leaved blue lupine). Its description in RNAcentral is "long non-coding RNA (LANG_LNC002294)". Lineage: Eukaryota; Viridiplantae; Streptophyta; Magnoliopsida; Fabales; Fabaceae. The record is from RNAcentral.